This 446-nucleotide ribosomal RNA is filed under the name uncultured Desulfovibrio sp. RNAcentral describes it as "bacterial SSU rRNA". It matches the Rfam family "Bacterial small subunit ribosomal RNA", at positions 937 to 1382 of the family's 1533-position model. Lineage: Bacteria; Pseudomonadati; Thermodesulfobacteriota; Desulfovibrionia; Desulfovibrionales; Desulfovibrionaceae. The record is from RNAcentral.
GCACGUGGUUUAAUUCGACGCAACGCGAAAACUACCUGGGCUUGACAUGGAGAGAAUCGUCCUGGAAACAGGAGAGUGCCUCGCAAGAGGAGCUCUCACACAGGUGCUGCAUGGCUGUCGUCAGCUCGUGUCGUGAGAUGUUGGGUUAAGUCCCGCAACGAGCGCAACCCUCGCCUUUAGUUGCCAGCAUUCAGUUGGGCACUCUAGAGGGACUGCCGGUGUCAAACCGGAGGAGGGUGGGGAUGACGUCAAGUCCUCAUGGCCUUUAUGUCUAGGGCUACACACGUACUACAAUGGCCGGUACAAAGGGCAGCCACUCAGCGAUGAGGCGCUAAUCCCAUAAAGCCGGUCUCAGUCCGGAUCGCAGUCUGCAACUCGACUGCGUGAAGUUGGAAUCGCUAGUAAUCGUAGAUCAGAAUGUCACGGUGAAUACGUUCCCGGGUCUU